AUUGAACGCUGGCGGCAUGCCUUACACAUGCAAGUCGAACGGCAGCGCGGGCUUCGGCCUGGCGGCGAGUGGCGAACGGGUGAGUAAUGUAUCGGAACGUGCCCUAGAGUGGGGGAUAACUAGUCGAAAGAUUGGCUAAUACCGCAUACGAUCUAAGGAUGAAAGCGGGGGAUCGCAAGACCUCGUGCUCAUGGAGCGGCCGAUAUCUGAUUAGCUAGUUGGUGGGGUAAAGGCCUACCAAGGCGACGAUCAGUAGCUGGUCUGAGAGGACGACCAGCCACACUGGGACUGAGACACGGCCCAGACUACUACGGGAGGCAGCAGUGGGGAAUUUUGGACAAUGGGGGCAACCCUGAUCCAGCAAUGCCGCGUGUGUGAAGAAGGCCUUCGGGUUGUAAAGCACUUUUGUCCGGAAAGAAAUUGCCUGAGCUAAUACCUUGGGUAGAUGACGGUACCGGAAGAAUAAGCACCGGCUAACUACGUGCCAGCCGCCGCUGUAA
This 500-nucleotide ribosomal RNA is filed under the name uncultured bacterium. RNAcentral's name for it is "partial 16S ribosomal RNA". It matches the Rfam family "Bacterial small subunit ribosomal RNA", at positions 30 to 523 of the family's 1533-position model. The record is from RNAcentral.